CCUACGGGUGGCAGCAGUCGAGAAUCAUUCACAAUGGGGGAAACCCUGAUGGUGCGACGCCGCGUGGGGGAAUGAAGGUCUUCGGAUUGUAAACCCCUGUCAUGUGGGAGCAAAUUAAAAAGAUAGUACCACAAGAGGAAGAGACGGCUAACUCUGUGCCAGCAGCCGCGUUAAUACAGAGGUCUCAAGCGUUGUUCGGAAUCACUGGGCGUAAGGGGUGCGUAGGCGGUUUCGUAAGUCGUGUGUGAAAGGCGCGGGCUCAACCCGCGGACGGCACAUGAUACUGGGAGACUAGAGUAAUGGAGGGGGAAGCGGAAUUCGCGGUGUAGCAGUGAAAUGCGUAGAUAUCGAGAGGAACACUCGUGGCGAAGGCGGGUUCCUGGACAUUAACUGACGCUGAGGCACGAAGGCCAGGGGAGCGAAAGGGAUUAGAUACCCCGGUAGUC
This 446-nucleotide ribosomal RNA is filed under the name uncultured bacterium. RNAcentral's name for it is "partial 16S ribosomal RNA". It matches the Rfam family "Bacterial small subunit ribosomal RNA", at positions 338 to 795 of the family's 1533-position model. The record is from RNAcentral.